RNAcentral lists this ribosomal RNA (353 nucleotides) under uncultured Cyphobasidiales. RNAcentral's name for it is "partial 28S ribosomal RNA". It matches the Rfam family "Eukaryotic large subunit ribosomal RNA", at positions 121 to 472 of the family's 3401-position model. Lineage: Eukaryota; Fungi; Basidiomycota; Cystobasidiomycetes; Cyphobasidiales. The record is from RNAcentral.
UCUGGCAGCUUCGCUGUCCGANUUGUAGUCUCNAGAAGUGUUUUCCGCGUUGGCACGUGUAUGAGUCUGUUGGAAUACAGCGUCAUAGAGGGUGAGAACCCCGUUCAUGACACGUNNACCAGUGCNUUNUGAUAACUUUCGAUGAGUCGAGUUGUUUGGGAAUGCAGCUCAAAAUGGGUGGUAAAUUCCAUCUAAAGCUAAAUAUUGGNGAGAGACCGAUAGCAAACAAGUACCGUGAGGGAAAGAUGAAAAGCACUUUGGAAAGAGAGUUAAAAGUACGUGAAAUUGUUGAAAGGGAAACGCUUGAAGUCAGACGUGCGCGGUACUUGUACCACUGCAGGCCANCAUCGGUU